UUAAGUAACUUCUUGGAGAGAUACAAAGUAACUAAAAUUUGGUAUUUGUUCUCAGAGAGCAUGAGAGAAACAAGGAAGGACUGAAAAUAUCUAGGGAUCAAGGGAAAGGAGAUCUAUGGAAGAUAGAUCUAUUUAGAUAAGAUUUUGACUUGAGGUAAGUAGCUUCUGUUUUCUUUUCUCUUUGCUAGACUUGGCAGGAAUGUGCUAACUGUCACAUAACAGCAACUGAACAGAUUACAUCAUAAGCAGAUUUUAUGGAGAGAAAUGUUUUCUGCCAUAACACGUCCCAUUCAAGAGCACCCAAUGAUUAAUGAGUUAAACAAGAUGAACUCUGAGGGUCCUGAUGGCAAGAACAGUCUAUGAAUUAAGGAGCUCCACUACUACUUCUGACCAAAAAACUCCUAUUAAUAAAUUAGAAUAAGACAAAUCA
This 430-nucleotide long non-coding RNA is filed under the name Monodelphis domestica (gray short-tailed opossum). RNAcentral describes it as "lncRNA (ENSMODG00000041064.1)". Lineage: Eukaryota; Metazoa; Chordata; Mammalia; Didelphimorphia; Didelphidae. The record is from RNAcentral.